UGUGAUGGCUGCUGUUGUUUUAUUUUUUAAACUGCAAUAUUUGAAAAUUUGUCUCCUGGAUACAUUUCACAAAGAUGACAUUUAUGAAAAUGGAAAGGGAAACAAAAAUAAUGCUAAAUUAAAGCCGCUUUUAGGUAAAGCUACUAUCGACACGUAUAUGAAAAAUAUCAAUGAUGGACAUGAGAAAAAGUCCUUGAAUAGUAUCAACACUACUGAAACUAAGCCGUCUGUGGAAAAAAAGAAUGAGUUGGGGACAUCAUAUACAUGUAUCAACAUAUUUGUGGAAAACGAAACGUGUAGCUCUAAAGCUGUGUGAAUGGUUAAAUUUGAUACUCAAGAUCUGACUUCAGCUAC
Saccostrea echinata is the source of this 354-nucleotide long non-coding RNA. RefSeq lists it as uncharacterized. The record is from RefSeq and is a predicted model, not a curated record. The transcript is spliced from 4 exons. Lineage: Eukaryota; Metazoa; Mollusca; Bivalvia; Ostreida; Ostreidae.